Homo sapiens (human) is the source of this 308-nucleotide long non-coding RNA. RefSeq lists it as uncharacterized. Lineage: Eukaryota; Metazoa; Chordata; Mammalia; Primates; Hominidae. The transcript has 2 exons. The record is from RefSeq and is a predicted model, not a curated record.
CAGGAACACGUGCACCAGGUAAUGCUAAUGAUGCCACAGAAGUUUUCAUGGAGGCAACAAAACUGGCUUGGAGCAACUGAGGUACAGAAGAAAACUUAAGAGUGUGUGGAUAGUGCAAAGAGAGAUCCAAGACUUUGGGUGAAGCUGGCUGGCAUUGUUAAGAAGAUGUUGGUUCACAGAAAUGAUAUAGAGACAAAUUAUGCAUCAUGAAAAUAUUUUCUUCCUCUUUAUACUUCUAGACUAUCAAUCAGGUUGACUUAGAAGUUCAGCAAUUGAGUUGCAAGAAGUAAAUAUUUAAAUUCACAGUG